AUGAAGAUAAGGAAGAAAGAGAUGUUUAUUUGCUGUCCAAAAAGUUCUCUCACGUCACUUUUGGCCCAAGAGAAGAUAGAGUCCAAGUCUCUCACGUUCUGGAUUCAGAUUCGGACUGCACAGACAUAUCUGACUCAAAACGCACACAAGUUUUUCAUACGGACUCCGAAUUGGGUGAUUCUUUUUUUGUUGGAAACUAGAUUCCGUGCACUUUCCAACCCAAUUGGAAUCACCUUCAAAUUCGUCCGGAGCGUUGAGUUGUGGACGAAACAAUCUGAUGCUGCAGCAGAAUCCGAGUCAAACUACAAGUCCAAAGGUGUUACAUCACCUCCACUUGGGCCCAUUGGCCUUGUACGACCUAGAUUUAGUUUUAGGCUGCCUUGGGACGUCCUCCCACCUCCUUGGCCGCCACCCCUUGCUCCUAUAUAA
Molecule: ribosomal RNA, 429 nt
Filed under: Triticum aestivum (bread wheat)
Lineage: Eukaryota; Viridiplantae; Streptophyta; Magnoliopsida; Poales; Poaceae
Description: partial small subunit ribosomal RNA
Source: RNAcentral